RNAcentral lists this ribosomal RNA (492 nucleotides) under uncultured bacterium. RNAcentral describes it as "partial 16S ribosomal RNA". It matches the Rfam family "Bacterial small subunit ribosomal RNA", at positions 29 to 507 of the family's 1533-position model. The record is from RNAcentral.
AGUGAACGCUGGCGGUAGGCCUAACACAUGCAAGUCGAACGGCAGCACAGUAAGAGCUUGCUCUUACGGGUGGCGAGUGGCGGACGGGUUAGGAAUACAUCGGAAUCUACUUUUUCGUGGGGGAUAACGUAGGGAAACUUACGCUAAUACCGCAUACGACCUACGGGUGAAAGCAGGGGAUCUUCGGACCUUGCGCGAUUGAAUGAGCCGAUGUCGGAUUAGCUAGUUGGCGGGGUAAAGGCCCACCAAGGCGACGAUCCGUAGCUGGUCUGAGAGGAUGAUGAGCCACACUAGAACUGAGACAGGGUCCAGACUACUAAGGGAGGCAGCAGUGGGGAAUGUUGGACAAUGGGAGAAAGCCUGAUCCAGCCAUACCGCGUGGGUGAAGAAGGACUUCGGGUUGUAAAGCCCUUUUGUUGGGAAAGAAAAGCAGAAGGUUAAUACCCCGCUGUUCUGACGGUACCAAAAGAAUAAGCACCGGCUAACUUCGUG